AAUGCAUCAGCUCUGCUUACAGCUAACUACAACAAGCUGUGUAGAACUAGUAGAGUAACCAUAUUUGUAUACAUAAAAAAAAAAAAACAGUACAAAAAAUUUUGGCACAACUUCCAACAAAUUUAUAGUGGUCUUUAUAUUUUAAUGAUACUUUGGAGUUUGGAGAUAAUGUUUUCCUAUUAUAUGCGGUUUUUAUUUAUGUGCAUACCUAUAAUUAUAAAUUAUAAUAUAAUAUGAAGAUAACGAGAUUAAAAUGGGAUUUAAAACGUUCCAUUUGAAGUUUUUCGACACAAGGGAUCAGUGUACCAAUUAUUCUUCUCCUAUAUUUUACGGUGUAUGACUAAUGAAGGGAAUAUAAUACAUUUAUUUGUAUUGUAUUUAUAACGAAAAAAAUAUAAAUAUCUUCUUCAGAAUACAGUAGGUAACCCUCAAUAAACUUAGAGUAGAAGUGGGCAGAUCUAAAAAAUAUCUAAAGAAAUGGGGCAUUCUUCAAGACAUCUCCACAAAAUGCGAGUGUGGUAUGGAACAAAAUACGGAACACCAACUGAACUGCCAAAGCUGCCCAUCUUCCUGUUCGAAGGAAAACUUUCUGUCAGAAAAUCAAAAUGCUAUAAAAGUAGCAAGAUUCUGGUCAAGGGUAAUCUAAAACUAAAACAAAUCUACCAACUCUAACAGUUAUUUUACCAUAAAGUUAUAUCCAUUGAAAAUUCUAUUUUAUUUCUAAUUGUUCUUAUUACCUAAACAAUUUAUGUAUUUAAUUAUAUU
This is a long non-coding RNA of Aphis gossypii (cotton aphid), 765 nucleotides long. RefSeq lists it as uncharacterized. NCBI's taxonomy places the organism in Eukaryota, Metazoa, Arthropoda, Insecta, Hemiptera, Aphididae. The transcript is spliced from 5 exons. The record is from RefSeq and is a predicted model, not a curated record.